This 495-nucleotide ribosomal RNA is filed under the name uncultured bacterium. RNAcentral's name for it is "partial 16S ribosomal RNA". It matches the Rfam family "Bacterial small subunit ribosomal RNA", at positions 28 to 507 of the family's 1533-position model. The record is from RNAcentral.
GACGAACGCUGGCGGCGUGCCUAAUACAUGCGAGUAGAACGCUGAAGGAGGAGCUUGCUUCUCUGGAUGAGUUGCGAACGGGUGAGUAACGCGUAGGUAACCUGCCUGGUAGCGGGGGAUAACUAUUGGAAACGAUAGCUAAUACCGCAUAAUAGUAGAUGUUGCAUGACAUUUGCUUAAAAGGUGCAAUUGCAUCACUACCAGAUGGACCUGCGUUGUAUUAGCUAGUUGGUGGGGUAACGGCUCACCAAGGCGACGAUACAUAGCCGACCUGAGGGGGUGAUCGGCCACACUGGGACUGAGACACGGCCCAGACUCCUACGGGAGGCAGCAGUAGGGAAUCUUCGGCAAUGGACGGAAGUCUGACCGAGCAACGCCGCGUGAGUGAAGAAGGUUUUCGGAUCGUAAAGCUCUGUUGUAAGAGAAGAACGAGUGUGAGAGUGGAAAGUUCACACUGUGACGGUAUCUUACCAGAAAGGGACGGCUAACUACGUG